UACGUAGGUGGCAAGCGUUGUCCGGAUUUAUUGGGUUUAAAGGGUGCGUAGGCGGCUUAUUAAGUCAGUGGUGAAAUACUCUAGCUCAACUAGAGGGGUGCCAUUGAUACUGGUGAGCUUGAGUACAGAUGAGGUAGGCGGAAUUGACGGUGUAGCGGUGAAAUGCUUAGAUAUCGUCAAGAACACCUAUAGCGAAGGCAGCUUACUAGGCUGUAACUGACGCUGAGGCACGAAAGCGUGGGGAUCAAACAGG
Molecule: ribosomal RNA, 253 nt
Filed under: uncultured bacterium
Lineage: Bacteria
Description: partial 16S ribosomal RNA
Rfam family: Bacterial small subunit ribosomal RNA
Source: RNAcentral